Molecule: long non-coding RNA, 371 nt
Filed under: Elaeis guineensis (African oil palm)
Lineage: Eukaryota; Viridiplantae; Streptophyta; Magnoliopsida; Arecales; Arecaceae
Description: long non-coding RNA (EGUI_LNC016349)
Source: RNAcentral
GUUGUUGUCAGUCUAUGUUCGUUGCUUUUAUUUUUCCCUUAACUACAAUAUUUUGCAUCAAUGAAAGAGGAUCCUUAAAUUCAGUCUGUCCAUCAAUUAGGAAGAUUCAAUAACGCUGAUGAGAGUCUUUAUAAUUUUCGUAGAGAAACUGAAAAGUAGAUUGACAAGAGGAACGGUUGAGGAUAAUAGGAAGAAUGUAUAACAGAGGAAUAUUGGACGAAGCCCAUCAUGAUUUGAAAAUCUGGCUAUCAUUCUAGCUCUUAUGUACAUUUUACAAUGGAAAGAGAUCCCAUCAUGGCUUGAAGAUUUGGCUGAACUCCAGAACUGAAGACUGCAAUGUGUUUCUGUUUUGUUUGUCCUGUAACUGGUUC